Molecule: long non-coding RNA, 1082 nt
Organism: Megalopta genalis
Lineage: Eukaryota; Metazoa; Arthropoda; Insecta; Hymenoptera; Halictidae
Source: RefSeq, a predicted model, not a curated record
AUGACCUCAGCUACCUCACAUUUCCGUAAUGCGAGACAUUUUUGGGACAUCCUGUACAUUUAUGGAUCCUACUCCUGCAUACCUCCGGCGACAAUUUGCUGAGACAGGAUCCACUGCGCCUUCUUUCUUUCUAAGGAAGCGCUUGUAUCCCCACCAUUUUACUGCGUAUACAAUCCACAAUGAACCAUGUUUUAGCAUUGAAUCGUCAGCCAAUCAGAACAAAGUAAUUUCUACUCCUACUCUCGCUAAUGGAACGCGCUACAGCCGCGGCGUCUUACAAAAUUUGUGGUAUUACUAUUUUGUGGGGUUGCUGCCUUCCAGUAAGGGAUGCCAAUUGUGGGAACUACCUCCGGUAAUUCUCCUUUCCCUCAAGUAGCCAAUCCGUCUCAGUUUGUAUUGUAUAUACUAUCUUCGUUCGUCCUUCCAACAUUCUCGUGUCUAAGGCAGGGCCCGCUAGAAAAGCCUUGCUGACAAGUCCUCUAGCGGUGCCAGGAUGGAACGCUUUCCUUCCUUUUCCUCCUCCAUAUUCCUCUAGAUUCCUCUAGAUAUUUAUAGAGCACCCUAUAAUUUUGUGAGAUCGAUGACGCCACGGAGCCAUUUCCCUCAGCACGCUCCUCUAGGGGGUUUAGUGGCCACUGAUUACCAUCACAGACUAUAUAAAACAGUCCGAUCGCUUCUCGAGAGAGAUUACAAUGAGAACCACAAAGAGAGAAAGAGAAAAAUCAGAGAGAGAGUCACUCAAAGAUAUAGAGAGUUAACGAGAGCUAGACCGGCAGUACAGUGCAACAGUUUCUAGUCUGAUAUUCUCAACGCGCACAUGUCUCAAUCGAAGGUUAUGUAUAGUAAUUUCUCCAAGAAAUGAUUUUAGCCAGAAUCGAAACAGCACUGAGAGAGCUGAGGCAUGAUUUAUAGUUGUCGACACCUCGUGAGAAAGGGAGAGAGAGAGAGAGAGAGAGAGAGAGAGAGAGAGAGAGAGAGAGAGAGAGAGAGCGAAACUAGGAUCGAACGAAGCUACUUGGAAACUCAGGGUGUACAUUACAGUGAAUACACAUUGUAAUGCUAGAAUAAAAAUGAUGACCUAA